This 354-nucleotide ribosomal RNA is filed under the name Macrothele cangshanensis. RNAcentral describes it as "partial small subunit ribosomal RNA". The record is from RNAcentral. Lineage: Eukaryota; Metazoa; Arthropoda; Arachnida; Araneae; Macrothelidae.
AUACGAGGUAAUAUCUUCGAGAGAAACCUUUGUCCUUUGGCGGCCCUUCUCCUUCUCAGAGGAACUUGUUUUUUAAUCGAUAAUCCCCGAUAAUUUUUACUUUUUUUUAGUCUUUAUACCGCCGUCUUAAGAUAAAUAUACGAGUUUUUUUCUGAAAAACUUAAGUUUUUAAGUCAGGUCAAGGUGAAGCCAAUAAAAAAGACUCAAAUGAGUUACUUAUUUUUCCAAAAAAUGGACUGGUAGCUAAAGCUCUCCCGAAACAGGAUUUGAUAGUAAUACUGUUUCAAAAUAACACUAUGAAACAGAAAAAAUGGUGCACAUAUCGCCCGUCACCCUCCUCCAAAGACGAGAUAA